This 425-nucleotide ribosomal RNA is filed under the name uncultured bacterium. RNAcentral describes it as "bacterial SSU rRNA". It matches the Rfam family "Bacterial small subunit ribosomal RNA", at positions 64 to 484 of the family's 1533-position model. The record is from RNAcentral.
GAGCGGUAGAGAGAAGCUUGCUUCUCUUGAGAGCGGCGGACGGGUGAGUAAUGCCUAGGAAUCUGCCUAGUGGUGGGGGAUAACGUUCGGAAACGGACGCUAAUACCGCAUACGUCCUACGGGAGAAAGCGGGGGACCUUCGGGCCUCGCGCCAUUAGAUGAGCCUAGGUCGGAUUAGCUAGUUGGUGAGGUAAUGGCUCACCAAGGCUACGAUCCGUAACUGGUCUGAGAGGAUGAUCAGUCACACUGGAACUGAGACACGGUCCAGACUCCUACGGGAGGCAGCAGUGGGGAAUAUUGGACAAUGGGCGAAAGCCUGAUCCAGCCAUGCCGCGUGUGUGAAGAAGGUCUUCGGAUUGUAAAGCACUUUAAGUUGGGAGGAAGGGUAGUAACUUAAUACGUUGCUAUUUUGACGUUACCGACUA